AAGAGAUGUGAGCACUGUGGAGCCAAGCAUGAUGCACCAGCCCUGCUUUUGUGUUGAAAGACAAGUUUCUCCUCUGACCAGGCCAACAGAUUCCUGAGAUGACGGAAGUCCAAGAAAUUGGAAUUUCCCCAGCAGUCUUAUGCUGGGAAAGAAGGGGCUGGCAGCCGUGUGCCUGCCAGAGUUUGUCUCCAGGAAAAAGAUUCUGCACAGAGUUUGCCGACGAGUCAGACGGACCACCUUGAAGGAGAGACUGGAGCCAAGACAAGGAUGACGGAAGGAAGUUCCGUCUGUCCGCCCUCCAGAAGGAAGUUCCGUCUGUCCGCCCCACCUCCAGAAAGAAAACUGAGGAUGUUUUUAUAAGUUCCUGAACAUCUGUCCCAGAAACAGGGGAUCUGCGCCUUGAUUGUAGUAGGGACCUGGCGCGAGCCUUCUCUGGCUGCCAAGGGAAGCAGCUGGCUUUCUUCCUGUGCCUAAGGCUGGAUCAUCUAUGGGACUUAAGGAAGGAGAGAGAAAGAAGGUUUUUUUUUGUUGUUGUUUUGUUGGUGAUGGUAGAAUAUUUUUUUCUUUUGUUCACUUGUUUUCUAAAUGUGGGGAUGGGGGUGGGAGGAUGCCUUAUUCAAUAUGAGUGUUUACCAUCGCUCUUGCAGAGCACCAGAUUCUGUUUCCAGCACCCGCGCAGCAAGACGUUCACAACUGCCUACUAACUCCAGGACAUUCAAUACCCUCCAGUCUCUGAGGGGACCUGCAUGCACAAGGUGCACACAAGCUUACACAAGCACAUAUAUACAUACACAUCUAAAUAAAAACAAACAAACAAAUAAACAAACAAAAAAAAGAAUCUUCAAAUGAGGGUGGUGGUGUUCUUAUAGGACCCUGCACAUUUGGGUCUUUUAUGACAUCACGGAUGGCUAAAUGCUGCCUCUGUUGUUGGUGUUAUGUUUUUCUGGGGCAGGGUAUCUCACCCAAGGCUCUAGGCUGGUUUCUAGGCUUGUUUUGAUUUUAUUUAGAAGGUUGGUUUUGAGAUAAGGCCUCAAGGUGUAGUCUAGGGGCUGGCUUCUAAUUUAGCUUUUCUACCUCAGCCUCCCAAGGGCAGGGUAACAGAUGUGCAUGUUGUACCUUAUACAGGUUAUACUUUACCUGUGUGCCUGGCUCACAGGGUGCUGUUUUCACUGGGCUGAAAUCACUUGGGAUUAUUUUCUCUUUCUCUGACACUGGAAAAAAUGUUUGCUUUGAUGAAAUACUUAUAUAAAUGUAUAAAGUUUUGUUUGUUUUUCUCUGUACAGUCCCUGAAGUCCUGCUCUGUAGACAUGGCUGGCCUCAAACUCAAGAGAUCUGCCUGCCUCUUUCCCGAGGGCUGGGAUUUUAAAAGUGUGUGUAAUUCUUUCAAAAGAACUAUGUGCUUCUCCGACAUGGCUCUCUGUAGAGAUGCUAUUUUUGCUGUUGGCAGGGUCAAAGAAUUAACAUUGCAUGACUUUGGUAAUGAAAGAGUCUUUAUUUCUUUUCGUGAUAAUAAAAAAAAAUGUUUUUGAAGUUAAAAA
Long non-coding RNA from Mus musculus (house mouse), 1538 nucleotides. RefSeq annotates it as predicted gene, 38773. The record is from RefSeq and is marked validated. The transcript is spliced from 3 exons. Lineage: Eukaryota; Metazoa; Chordata; Mammalia; Rodentia; Muridae.